RNAcentral lists this ribosomal RNA (1543 nucleotides) under metagenome. RNAcentral describes it as "bacterial LSU rRNA". It matches the Rfam family "Bacterial large subunit ribosomal RNA", at positions 1354 to 2925 of the family's 2925-position model. The record is from RNAcentral.
CCAAAAAGCUGAUCUGCUCUGGGUAAGUCGGGGCCUAAGGCGAGGACGAGAGUCGUAGCCGAUGGACAACAGGUGGAGAUUCCUGUACUGCGGUAUGACAGAACUGUGGGGACACGUAAGGAAAGCGGAAGCCGGGAAUGGAAAGCCCGGUGCAAGCGGGGUACCAGUCACUCUGGCAAAUCCGGGUGGCAAUGGGAAGCCGUGAUGCGGAGCGAAAUAAAGUAGCGAAGUCCGUGAGCCAUGCGUCAAGAAAAGCCGCUAUCGUUCAUACCGUACCCGUACCGUAAACCGACACAGGUGGAUGAGGAGAGAAUCCUAAGGCCGGCGGAAGAAGCAUUGUCAAGGAACUCGGCAAAAUGGCCCCGUAACUUAGGGAUAAGGGGUGCCUGGGAAACCAGGCCGCAGAGAAUAGGCUCAAGCAACUGUUUAGCAAAAACACAGGUCUAUGCGAAACCGAAAGGUGAGGUAUAUGGCUGACGCCUGCCCGGUGCUGGAAGGUUAAGAGGAGAGGUUAGCGCAAGCGAAGCUUUGAAUUUAAGCCCCAGUAAACGGCGGCCGUAACUAUAACGGUCCUAAGGUAGCGAAAUUCCUUGUCGGGUAAGUUCCGACCCGCACGAAAGGCGUAAUGAUUUGAGCGCUGUCUCGACAAUGCAUCCGGUGAAAUUGAAGUACCAGUGAAGAUGCUGGUUACCUGCGCCAGGACGGAAAGACCCCAUGGAGCUUUACUCCAGUUUGGUACUGGGACUCGGUAUUGCAUGUACAGGAUAGGUGGGAGGCUAGGAGAUAGUAACGCCAGUUAUUAUGGAGCCGCUGUUGGGAUACCACCCUUGCAGUAUUGGGUUUCUAACCAGCCGCCGUGACCCGGCGGUGGGACAGUGCCAGACGGGGAGUUUGACUGGGGCGGUCGCCUCCGAAAGGGUAUCGGAGGCGCCCAAAGGUUCCCUCAGAAUGGACGGAAACCAUUCGAAGAGUGCAAAGGCAGAAGGGAGCUUGACUGCGACACCGACGGGUGGAGCAGGUACGAAAGUAGGGCUUAGUGAUCCGGUGGUAUUAAGUGGGAAUGCCAUCGCUCAACGGAUAAAAGCUACCCUGGGAUAACAGGCUUAUCACUCCCAAGAGUUCACAUCGACGGAGUGGUUUGGCACCUCGAUGUCGGCUCAUCGCAUCCUGGGGCUGUAGUAGGUCCCAAGGGUUGGGCUGUUCGCCCAUUAAAGCGGUACGCGAGCUGGGUUCAGAACGUCGUGAGACAGUUCGGUCCCUAUCCGGCGUGGGCGUAGGAUAUCUGAGAGGAGCUGUCCUUAGUACGAGAGGACCGGGAUGGACGGGCCGCUGGUGCAUCGGUUAGACUGCCAAGUCUACGGCCGAGUAGCCAAGCCCGGAAGGGAUAAACGCUGAAGGCAUCUAAGCGUGAAGCCCCCCUUAAGAUGAGAUAUCCCAUUCGAAAGAAGUAAACCCCCUUGAAGACGACGAGGUAGAUAGGGCAGAGGUGGAAGUGUGGCAACACAUGGAGCUGACUGUUACUAAUCGGGUGAGGGCUUGACCU